This 32-nucleotide non-coding RNA is filed under the name Rattus norvegicus (Norway rat). Lineage: Eukaryota; Metazoa; Chordata; Mammalia; Rodentia; Muridae. The record is from RNAcentral.
UAAAAAUUGUCACCAAGGCUAAACUCACCGGC